Molecule: ribosomal RNA, 550 nt
Filed under: uncultured Ruegeria sp.
Lineage: Bacteria; Pseudomonadati; Pseudomonadota; Alphaproteobacteria; Rhodobacterales; Roseobacteraceae
Description: bacterial SSU rRNA
Rfam family: Bacterial small subunit ribosomal RNA
Source: RNAcentral
GAGCGCGCCUUCGUGGUGACCGGCGGGUGGGUUAGUAACGCGUGGGAACGUGCCCUUCUCUACGGAAUAGCCUCUGGAAACGGAGAGUAAUACCGUAUACGCCCUUUGGGGGAAAGAUUUAUCGGAGAAGGAUCGGCCCGCGUUAGAUUAGGUAGUUGGUGGGGUAACGGCCUACCAAGCCUACGAUCUAUAGCUGGUUUUAGAGGAUGAUCAGCAACACUGGGACUGAGACACGGCCCAGACUCCUACGGGAGGCAGCAGUGGGGAAUCUUAGACAAUGGGGGCAACCCUGAUCUAGCCAUGCCGCGUGAGUUGAUGAAGGCCUUAGGGUCGUAAAGCUCUUUCGCCUGUGAUGAUCAUGACAGUAGCAGGUAAAGAAACCCCGGCUAACUCCGUGCCAGCAGCCGCGGUAAUACGGAGGGGGUUAGCGUUGUUCGGAAUUACUGGGCGUAAAGCGCGCGUAGGCGGAUUAGAAAGUUGGGGGUGAAAUCCCGGGGCUCAACCCCGGAACUGGCUCCAAAACUGCUAGUCUAGAGUUCGAGAGAGGUGA